RNAcentral lists this ribosomal RNA (440 nucleotides) under uncultured bacterium. Its description in RNAcentral is "partial 16S ribosomal RNA". It matches the Rfam family "Bacterial small subunit ribosomal RNA", at positions 338 to 795 of the family's 1533-position model. The record is from RNAcentral.
CCUACGGGAGGCAGCAGUGGGGAAUAUUGCACAAUGGGGGAAACCCUGAUGCAGCGACGCCGCGUGAGCGAUGAAGUAUUUCGGUAUGUAAAGCUCUAUCAGCAGGGAAGAAAAUGACGGUACCUGACUAAGAAGCCCCGGCUAACUACGUGCCAGCAGCCGCGGGAAUACGUAGGGGGCAAGCGUUAUCCGGAUUUACUGGGUGUAAAGGGAGCGUAGACGGCGGUGCAAGCCAGAUGUGAAAGCCCGGGGCUCAACCCCGGGACUGCAUUUGGAACUGUGCUGCUAGAGUGUCGGAGAGGCAGGCGGAAUUCCUAGUGUAGCGGUGAAAUGCGUAGAUAUUAGGAGGAACACCAGUGGCGAAGGCGGCCUGCUGGACGACAACUGACGGUGAGGCGCGAAAGCGUGGGGAGCGAACAGGAUUAGAUACCCCAGUAGUC